Sinocyclocheilus rhinocerous is the source of this 238-nucleotide long non-coding RNA. RefSeq lists it as uncharacterized. Lineage: Eukaryota; Metazoa; Chordata; Actinopteri; Cypriniformes; Cyprinidae. The transcript is spliced from 3 exons. The record is from RefSeq and is a predicted model, not a curated record.
CGCACGCGGCUCUGCAUGAACGCUCAACGGCUGUUUAGAGUGAUAAUUACUCCCUCGGUCACCUUAAACAGCAUUAACAUGCUUUUCGACAGUUAAGGCCUGAAACGCAAUCUACACAAGGACGUGAGACAGUUCAUAUUCAAUUCAUUUCUGGAUGGUGCACAACCCUGUCAGCUGCUUGCUGAGACAGUGCAAGUUGAAAGAACAUGAAAAAUUGUGAGGAAUGUUGGGAACCAAA